CUACGGGUGGCUGCAGUGGGGAAUAUUGCGCAAUGGGCGGAGGCCUGACGCAGCAACGCCGCGUGAGGGAUGACGGCCUUCGGGUUGUAAACCUCUUUCAGCAGGGAAGAAGCGAGAGUGACGGUACCUGCAGAAGAAGCACCGGCUAACUACGUGCCAGCAGCCGCGGUAAUACGUAGGGUGCAAGCGUUGUCCGGAUUUAUUGGGCGUAAAGAGCUCGUAGGCGGUUAGUCGCGUCGGAUGUGAAAUCCUAGAGCUUAACUCUGGGCCUGCAUUCGAUACGGGCUGACUCGAGUAUUGUAGGGGAGACUGGAACUCCUGGUGUAGCGGUGAAAUGCGCAGAUAUCAGGAAGAACACCGGUGGCGAAGGCGGGUCUCUGGGCAAUUACUGACGCUGAGGAGCGAAAGCGUGGGGAGCAAACAGGAUUAGAUACCCCCGUAGUC
RNAcentral lists this ribosomal RNA (444 nucleotides) under uncultured bacterium. RNAcentral describes it as "partial 16S ribosomal RNA". It matches the Rfam family "Bacterial small subunit ribosomal RNA", at positions 339 to 795 of the family's 1533-position model. The record is from RNAcentral.